Non-coding RNA from Paramuricea clavata, 212 nucleotides. The record is from the annotation of a GenBank genome assembly. NCBI's taxonomy places the organism in Eukaryota, Metazoa, Cnidaria, Anthozoa, Malacalcyonacea, Plexauridae.
AAGGUUGUUCCAACAAGUCAGAUACAGUCACGAUAUAACAAUAUUGUUACAACCUGGUUGAUAUUAUCAGACUUGCUGCAUGCAAGGUUGUUCCAACAAAUCUGAUUAUCUGAUACGGUCAUGAUAUAACAAUAUUUAUUACAACCUUGUGUCAUCAAACUUGUAACAUCCUUGUUAUGUCAUGGCUGUAUCAGACUUGUUAGAACAACCUU